GGAGUUGAUGCUAGUCGCCAAGCUUUAUUCAAGGAUGCUGAUAAAUACUGUAAGACAGUAUUGGGAAGGCUCUCCAGUGGGCAUGGUUGCGUGAAGGCUAUGUUCUUAACUCUUGUGGUAGUGGCUGUUGGCGCAGCUGUUGUGUUCCCAAAACUUGAUGAAUGGGAUUGGAACAAGUUGCUUGCUGAAGCCCAGAAAUCGUUCUGAUCGAAUUUUUAAUCCUUACUGAGUUGGAAAUAUGGAUUUUCUGGAAAGAGGCAAAACUAAUUCAAAGGGGGCAAAAUAAAAGUGACGGAGAGAUAGGUGUUUGUGCAAUAGCAAGCCUGAUGAGUUUUACUAAUAUAUAAUAUUCGGCAUGUAAAAGAAGGAAGUUUGAUAUGAUCGACCAUAUGGAACUAAUUUUUCUUUUUCCUUGUUCCUGUUAGAGUUAGAAGAGAUCGUCCUUGAUGUAAUCAGCACUAAUCUCAGCUGAGCACACAGAAAUUGAUAUACUUGUUUCUUUUUCUUCCUCUUUUGGAUACAGAUUUUGUUCAACAGUUUCUUGAGGAUUUUGUAUUUGUGCUGAUUUGUUUCUUGCUUGCUUUUGAUGUUUGCAAUUGCUAAUGUGCGUUUCCGUUGGUGUUAAUGAAACGAUGUAUGUAGUUUCAGUUUGUUAUGCUACAGAUUUGUAUUUGGGGGCAAUGUUGUUUUGUAUUGCAUUUGAAGAGAGAUGGGUGCCUGCAGUUUGUAGAGUGAGAAUCGAUGAUUGAGAGAUGUGUUGACAAAAUUGCACCCUUCUGAUCCAACAAGG
Molecule: long non-coding RNA, 790 nt
Filed under: Salvia miltiorrhiza (redroot sage)
Lineage: Eukaryota; Viridiplantae; Streptophyta; Magnoliopsida; Lamiales; Lamiaceae
Description: long non-coding RNA (SMIL_LNC014184)
Source: RNAcentral